ACCCCUUUGUUGGUUGACUGUUAACAGAAUUAAUUGUUAGGUUACUAACUGAAUGAUCUCUGCUCUAGUACUUCCAAUACAAGAAGAGCUUCUGAUCCUUCCUUUUGUCAACACCAACUUUGAGAUGGACAAGAUUUCCAGCUGUUCCACAUCCAGAAGCUGACCAGACUGACCGCCGAGUCUUCAAAAUUAGUGACAAGACAGCUUCCUCCAUUGCACCCAAGGAUAGCAGUCUAGCUUAAAGGUAAAGCUCUUGGCUUGUUCUGUGACUCAUCACCCUCAGCAGGUGCUUACAGCGAUGCCCAGUUAGUAAUGUCUGAAGAACAGAAGGAUAGGCAAUUGGACAGGAAGUCCCCAUGACACUCCACCUCCAGCUUUCAUCUUCUGACAACUGAGAAAGUCUCUUUCAUCUCCCUUCACUCAGAGCUGUAAAACUUUUAUAUAAGUUGAUUUCAUGCAAUAUUAAGAGGACGUUUGUUUGCUUGGAUGGAGCAGGGGUGUGGGACUUGAAACAAAUGGCUUUCCACUGUGCUCACAUCUGAAAAAACCAGCGGAACUUAAUAGUGGAGUUUGUUCCAGUUCGGCUCAUGAAGAAAAUUUUUUUUAUUAAAAAAAAAGAAAGGAUUUGGGGACCAAGCUGUGGGAAAUAUUUUGCAUUUGUGGUGUUUCCUGUACUGCUUUGUCUGCUGUCUUGCCAUUUACAAAAUAUUAAUUUCAUGUAAUCCUAUGAGUUUGAAGGGACUCCAGCAUUCAUCCAGCCCAGUCCCCUGCCGAUUGAGGAAACGACAUAUUUUAAAUGCAUUGAAUACAUGAAGAAUAUUUGGCUUCAUUUUUUAUAUGCAUUUCAGUUGUUCCCCUCUCCUUGUCAUCAAGAUCUCUGAAUUUCUGCUUCUGAUAAGUGUUGCUCAGACAUGCACCAAUUGUUUUACAGGUGACAUACCAGCAAAUAGGAUUCUUUGCUUGCAUUUUCUUUCAACAGAGCUGUAAUGUACAAAAUGAAAUUUGUCAGGUGCCUGGUGUUUUUUUUUUCCCCUACCCCAGGAGUAAAUGCAAUGGGUCCAUUUGAUUUUCUGACAGCCUUCAUUGCUGCUUUGUUAGUCUCCUUUGCAAUUUGUUCACUUAAUGCAAUGGCACUGACACCUAAACGCUAAAUAAUAAAUGGUAAUACAGUAAACUGGCAUGUUCUAAAUAAAGAAAAUGGUUUUCCUCU
This is a long non-coding RNA of Podarcis muralis (Common wall lizard), 1210 nucleotides long. RefSeq lists it as uncharacterized. Lineage: Eukaryota; Metazoa; Chordata; Lepidosauria; Squamata; Lacertidae. The record is from RefSeq and is a predicted model, not a curated record.